CAGUAGCCACGGGAAUACGUAGGUGGCAAGCGUUGUCCGGAAUUAUUGGGCGUAAAGGGCUCGCAGGCGGUUUCUUAAGUCCGAUGUGAAAGCCCCCGGCUCAACCGGGGAGGGUCAUUGGAAACUGGGAAACUUGAGUGCAGAAGAGGAGAGUGGAAUUCCACGUGUAGCGGUGAAAUGCGUAGAGAUGUGGAGGAACACCAGUGGCGAAGGCGACUCUCUGGUCUGUAACUGACGCUGAGGAGCGAAAGCGUGGGGAGCGAACAGGAUUAGAUACCCGGGUAGUCCCUGUCUCUUAUAA
Molecule: ribosomal RNA, 301 nt
Filed under: uncultured bacterium
Lineage: Bacteria
Description: partial 16S ribosomal RNA
Rfam family: Bacterial small subunit ribosomal RNA
Source: RNAcentral